RNAcentral lists this small RNA (486 nucleotides) under Oryza sativa Japonica Group (Japanese rice). Its description in RNAcentral is "sRNA Os11g0429900". Lineage: Eukaryota; Viridiplantae; Streptophyta; Magnoliopsida; Poales; Poaceae. The record is from RNAcentral.
CAGAAGAAAAGGGGACCGGGCGGCGGAGGACUCGACGGCCCUCGGGAGAGGCGGCGGUGGCGGUGGGCGGCGGCUCAGCGGCGCGUGGCGGCGGCGCUGGUGCGAAGGCGAAGCGGCGAGGUGGUGCGGCGGCGCUAGGCGGCCAGCGGUGGCGGCGAUGUUGCAAGUCAUCGAUUACAAGUUUCUGAAUCGGGUGUGGUCUUGUUGAAGCCCCAUGAUGUGUUGCCAAUGGAGAUUAAUUGAUUCUAGAAGAAGACCUUUGAACUUUUGUCUUGUUUUUCUUGAAGAUACUAGAGAUGUUUUUAUUGUGAUGUAGCUAGAAAAUUAGAAUCUUAACAUUUUCCCUGAAAUGCAGUGUCUCAAACCUUGUAGUUUCCCAGUAGUUUUUAGUUUUGUAGUUUGUUUUUCGGUUCCUAUUGUAAACCUUGUAAGUUCUUCGGCUUCUUGCCAUCUUUUGAAAGGAAUUAGUUUGAAAUGUUUGGGGUU